RNAcentral lists this ribosomal RNA (404 nucleotides) under uncultured bacterium. RNAcentral's name for it is "bacterial SSU rRNA". It matches the Rfam family "Bacterial small subunit ribosomal RNA", at positions 29 to 414 of the family's 1533-position model. The record is from RNAcentral.
AACGAACGCUGGCGGCGUGGAUAAGACAUGCAAGUCGAACGGGAACUUCAGCUGUAGCAAUACAGUUGAAGUUUUAGUGGCGAACGGGUGCGUAACACGUGGGCAAUCUGCCGAGAAGUGGGGGAUAGCUCGCCGAAAGGCGAAUUAAUACCGCAUAUGAUCAGCUAAGACAUCUUAGCGACAUCAAAGUCCGGGGCAACCUGGCGCUUUUUGAGGAGCCCGCGGCCUAUCAGCUAGUUGGUGAGGUAACGGCUCACCAAGGCUAUGACGGGUAGCUGGUCUGAGGAGGACGACCAGUCACACUGGAACUGAGACACGGUCCAGACACCUACGGGUGGCAGCAGUCGAGAAUUUUUCUCAAUGGGGCAACCCUGAAGGAGCGACGCCGCGGUGGAGGAUGAAGG